AACGAACGCUGGCGGCAUGCCUAACACAUGCAAGUCGAACGAGACCUUCGGGUCUAGUGGCGCACGGGUGCGUAACGCGUGGGAACCUGCCCUUAGGUUCGGAAUAACUCCCCGAAAGGGGUGCUAAUACCGGAUAAUGUCUUCGGACCAAAGAUUUAUCGCCUUUGGAUGGGCCCGCGUUGGAUUAGCUAGUUGGUAGGGUAAAAGCCUACCAAGGCGACGAUCCAUAGCUGGUCUGAGAGGAUGAUCAGCCACACUGGGACUGAGACACGGCCCAGACCCCUGCGGGAGGAAGAAGGGGGGAAUAUGGGAAAAGGGGCGAAAGCCUUAUCCAGCAAGGCCGGGGGAGUGAUGAAGGCCUUAGGGUUGUAAAGCUCUUUUACCCGGGAUGAUAAUGACAGUACCGGGAGAAUAAGCCCCGGCAAACCCCGU
RNAcentral lists this ribosomal RNA (432 nucleotides) under uncultured bacterium. RNAcentral's name for it is "partial 16S ribosomal RNA". It matches the Rfam family "Bacterial small subunit ribosomal RNA", at positions 29 to 506 of the family's 1533-position model. The record is from RNAcentral.